CAUGUGGCUCAGUUGGUAGAGUGUCGCCUUGGUAAGGCGGAGGUCGUCGGUUCAAGUCCGAUCAUG
RNAcentral lists this transfer RNA (66 nucleotides) under uncultured Clostridium sp. It matches the Rfam family "tRNA". Rfam says of the family: Transfer RNA (tRNA) molecules are approximately 80 nucleotides in length. Their secondary structure includes four short double-helical elements and three loops (D, anti-codon, and T loops). The record is from RNAcentral. Lineage: Bacteria; Bacillati; Bacillota; Clostridia; Eubacteriales; Clostridiaceae.